UGGCUGGCGGCAGCUACACAUGCAAGUCGAGCGGAUGAAGGGAGCUUGCUCCUGGAUUCAGCGGCGGACGGGUGAGUAAUGCCUAGGAAUCUGCCUGGUAGUGGGGGAUAACGUCCGGAAACGGGCGCUAAUACCGCAUACGUCCUGAGGGAGAAAGUGGGGGAUCUUCGGACCUCACGCUAUCAGAUGAGCCUAGGUCGGAUUAGCUAGUUGGUGGGGUAAAGGCCUACCAAGGCGACGAUCCGUAACUGGUCUGAGAGGAUGAUCAGUCACACUGGAACUGAGACACGGUCCAGACUCCUACGGGAGGCAGCAGUGGGGAAUAUUGGACAAUGGGCGAAAGCCUGAUCCAGCCAUGCCGCGUGUGUGAAGAAGGUCUUCGGAUUGUAAAGCACUUUAAGUUGGGAGGAAGGGCAGUAAGUUAAUACCUUGCUGUUUUGACGUUACCAACAGAAUAAGCACCGGCUAACUUCGUGCCAGCAGCCGCGGUAAUACGAAGGGUGCAAGCGUUAAUCGGAAUUACUGGGCGUAAAGCGCGCGUAGGUGGUUCAGCAAGUUGGAUGUGAAAUCCCCGGGCUCAACCUGGGAACUGCAUCCAAAACUACUGAGCUAGAGUACGGUAGAGGGUGGUGGAAUUUCCUGUGUAGCGGUGAAAUGCGUAGAUAUAGGAAGGAACACCAGUGGCGAAGGCGACCACCUGGACUGAUACUGACACUGAGGUGCGAAAGCGUGGGGAGCAAACAGGAUUAGAUACCCUGGUAGUCCACGCCGUAAACGAUGUCGACUAGCCGUUGGGAUCCUUGAGAUCUUAGUGGCGCAGCUAACGCGAUAAGUCGACCGCCUGGGGAGUACGGCCGCAAGGUUAAACUCAU
Molecule: ribosomal RNA, 872 nt
Filed under: Pseudomonas aeruginosa
Lineage: Bacteria; Pseudomonadati; Pseudomonadota; Gammaproteobacteria; Pseudomonadales; Pseudomonadaceae
Description: bacterial SSU rRNA
Rfam family: Bacterial small subunit ribosomal RNA
Source: RNAcentral